GUGCCAGCAGCCGCGGUAAUACGGGGGGGGCAAGCGUUGUUCGGAAUUACUGGGCGUAAAGGGUUGGUAGGUGGCCGAUUAAGUCAGACGUGAAAUCCCUCAGCUUAACUGGGGAACUGCGUCUGAUACUGGUUGGCUUGAGUGCAGGAGAGGAACGCGGAAUUCCAGGUGUAGCGGUGAAAUGCGUAGAUAUCUGGAGGAACACCGGUGGCGAAGGCGGCGUUCUGGACUGCAACUGACACUGAACAACGAAAGCCAGGGGAGCAAACGGGAUUAGAUACCCCUGUAGUCC
This 292-nucleotide ribosomal RNA is filed under the name uncultured bacterium. Its description in RNAcentral is "partial 16S ribosomal RNA". It matches the Rfam family "Bacterial small subunit ribosomal RNA", at positions 505 to 796 of the family's 1533-position model. The record is from RNAcentral.